GACGAACGCUGGCGGCGUGCUUAACACAUGCAAGUCGAACGGUAAGGCCUUCGGGUACACGAGUGGCGAACGGGUGAGUAACACGUGGGUGAUCUGCCCUGCACUUUGGGAUAAGCCUGGGAAACUGGGUCUCAUACCGAAUACACCCUGCUGGCUGCAUGGCCUGGUGGGGGAAAGCUUUUGCGGUGUGGGAUGGGCUCGCGGCCUAUCAGCGUGUUGGUGGGGUGAUGGACGAACAAGGCGACGACGGGUGGCCGGCCUGAGAGGGUGACCGGGCACACUGGGACUGAGAUACGGCCCGGACUCCUACGGGAGGGAGCAGUGGGGAAGAUUGCACAAUGGGCGCAAUCCUGAUGCGGCGGCGCCGCGUGGGGGAUGACGGCGUUCGGGUUGUAAACCUCUUUCAGUGCCGACGAAGCGCAAGUGACGGUAGGCACAGAAGAAGGGCCGGCCAACUACGUGCCAGCCGCCGCAGUAA
This 478-nucleotide ribosomal RNA is filed under the name uncultured bacterium. RNAcentral's name for it is "partial 16S ribosomal RNA". It matches the Rfam family "Bacterial small subunit ribosomal RNA", at positions 28 to 523 of the family's 1533-position model. The record is from RNAcentral.